AUACGUAGGUGGCAAGCGUUGUCCGGAAUUAUUGGGCGUAAAGCGCGCGCAGGCGGUCCUUUAAGUCUGCUGUGAAAGCCCACGGCUCACCCGUGGAGGGUCAUUGGAAACUGGAGGACUUGCGUGCAGAAGAGGAAAGUGGAAUUCCAAGUGUAGCGGUGAAAUGCGUAGAGAUUUGGAGGAACACCAGUGGCGAAGGCGACUUUCUGGUCUGUAACUGACGCUGAGGCGCGAAAGCGUGGGGAGCAAACAGGAUUAGAUACCCUGGUAGUCCACGCCGUAAACGAUGAGUGCUAAGUGUUAGGGGGUUUCCGCCCCUUAGUGCUGCAGCUAACGCAUUAAGCACUCCGCCUGGGGAGUACGGUCGCAAGACUGAAACUCAAAGGAAUUGACGGGG
RNAcentral lists this ribosomal RNA (397 nucleotides) under uncultured bacterium. Its description in RNAcentral is "partial 16S ribosomal RNA". It matches the Rfam family "Bacterial small subunit ribosomal RNA", at positions 523 to 918 of the family's 1533-position model. The record is from RNAcentral.